CAGCAACCGACGGAUCCGUGCGAGUCCGCGCUCCCGUCCAGAGCCCAACGACCGCCGCCGCGUUUACGACGACAGUAAUUUUACAGUGUGUACCGUGGUUUCGACCAUAAUUCCGUCGUGCGGAUAUGCAAUCGCAGUAACGUUUUUAAACGGUUAUUGUAAAAUACGUGUUAUACACCAGGUACGCAUACGCACGUAUAUUCACUACCGCCCAGUGAUUUUUGUUUUUCAUUGAGCCCUCAUUUCAUUAUUUUUUUUUUUUUAGUUUAUUUUCCUCGGUAUUUUCUCGUCGGCGUCAUCGUUUUUUGGGUCCAACGCCGCUGACACUUUUCGGCCGUCCGGUCGCUGCACGCCGUGGUUCCGAUCAUCACGCGAGAAGAUCCAUCGUGGUA
This is a non-coding RNA of Cinara cedri, 392 nucleotides long. Lineage: Eukaryota; Metazoa; Arthropoda; Insecta; Hemiptera; Aphididae. The record is from the annotation of a GenBank genome assembly.